Solanum tuberosum (potato) is the source of this 382-nucleotide long non-coding RNA. RefSeq lists it as uncharacterized. Lineage: Eukaryota; Viridiplantae; Streptophyta; Magnoliopsida; Solanales; Solanaceae. The record is from RefSeq and is a predicted model, not a curated record. The transcript is spliced from 3 exons.
UUGGAAGGACAGCUGCCCAAAGUGAUAAACAUCACUUGUUGACUAUAUAUUUCACACUUCCUUGAGGUAAUUCGUUUCUUCCAAGUCUAAGAGCAUUAGAACCUUAGCUUAACAGGUUGUUCUUCAAGAUCACAAGGGAAAACUUGGCCCUUUUUGGCUGGAAUUCGGGAAAACACCUUUUGUUUGGUUGUAUAUACUCGUGAACAAGUUGAGGACCUUGAUACAUUGGUUGGGCUGUUUCUUGGCUAACGCACGGAGGGAAUGGUCGAGAGGAGGCGUGAAGAAGGCCUUUGAAGAUGGAAAUUUUGAGAGCUUUAAGGAAGAUCACAUUUGCAUUUAGGCAUCUAUAUUUUGUAUAAACCUUGGGACUUGUACAUGAUCU